GGUAAAAAAAAGGUAAGCUACUAAGAGCGAAUGGUGGAUGCCUUGACUGGUAAAGGCGAUGAAGGACGUACUAGACUGCGAUAAGCUACGGGGAGCUGUCAAGAAGCUUUGAUCCGUAGAUUUCCGAAUGGGGCAACCCAAUGUAUAGAGAUAUACAUUACCUAUAUAGGAGCGAACGAGGGGAAUUGAAACAUCUUAGUACCCUCAGGAAAAGAAA
This 217-nucleotide ribosomal RNA is filed under the name Campylobacter jejuni. RNAcentral's name for it is "partial 23S ribosomal RNA". It matches the Rfam family "Bacterial large subunit ribosomal RNA", at positions 1 to 224 of the family's 2925-position model. Lineage: Bacteria; Pseudomonadati; Campylobacterota; Epsilonproteobacteria; Campylobacterales; Campylobacteraceae. The record is from RNAcentral.